CGAGCACAUCGGAAAAGUGCAUCUCUAGCCUACAGCAUCGCCAAAUCCAUCCGAUCACUACAAUCACAACAGUGCCGCGUUUCACCGAGAGGACACACAUAACCGGCGACGUCGUGGACCGAAAUCGGAGACCUGGCUCCUUAAAAGCUCUUCGUAUGAUCCGGACUGCUGUGCCCCAUUCACUGGGCUUUCUUUUAGGUGAUCGGGAAAUAUUCGGUACGUUUUCUUCAAACUUCAGCCGACAAAGACUGCACACAAGCCGGAGCGCGGUUGGGCGCGGGGAAGCAUGGAAUAGACAGAAGUGAACGGUUAAGAGAACCCCUGCUUCCUUGUCUAGUUUAAAGACGCAGUAAUCAGCAGCUCGGUCGGGUCAGAAAUCUUCAAGCAAGACUCGUGUGGACGGAUAAGGACCGCAAGAUGUCCAUUCCGAGAGCAUACUCUGCUCUGAUUGGUCAGAUGUCCCAGUCUGUUGUGAUUGGUCCACCGCUGUUAGCGAGCAGCCGAUGAAGACCAGAGGUGGGGUUUUUUGUUACAAACCUACGUAGGUUAGUACAGGAAGUAAGUCUGGAAUUACUAACGACUCGUUUCAGCUGUUCAGAAUCGCUUCCUUCUUUUAGGAGUCAAUAACUCUGUUUGUCGUGCACUUUGAUUUUAAAUUACAAGAAUUAAUAUAACAAUGCCAAUUUUCUGGCCCAUACUUUAGACUAUGACAUAAUUGUUCUCAAACUCUUAACAUGCCUCUGGCUCCCUUGUAAUAAAUGUAUUCACAUAUUAGCGCACACAACCGUAUCCUGAGUGUUUGGUAAGUGCUGACUCUCGUCUUUUCCCUUCUAUUUGACACAGCAUGUGUGUAUCUCAUUAGGCAGUGUCAGUGAGAGAGCAUCUACUCUGCCAAGCCUGAUCUGCUCACGCCUCAGCUACCGACACUCAGCAGCGAGGCCAGCGCAGCCUCUGAGCGGUUUCCAUAGCUGACUGCAGCAAACGCAUAAAAAAAACAUUAAUCCUCUUCAACUGCUUUUUUUAUACUUGGGGCUGUAUUUCAUUCUAGUCAGCAGCGUAUAGAGGUUUUUAUGAUCUGCCAUAACGUACCCGUAAAGGGAGGAAACGACAGAUUACUGUAAAUUCGGGACCUGUGAAGAAUGCCACGGAUUUGGAAAGGAUGCCCUUUAAAAGCGCAGACGUCAGGGUGGAGAAGGCACAAAGUAAAGCAUGGAUUUUAUGCAUCUCACAGCAUAUGGGGAAAUCCGUUUCGUGUUUCAGCCAUUGCAGCAGUAUUCAGGCAGCCUUUAGAGGUUUUUUUUUUUGGUCUUGAUCAGGGAAGAGUUUUGUGGUGACUAAUGAUUGAAAUGGCCUCCAAUUUGAGUUUUGGAGAUUAGUCAUGAAUCAGAACAAAUUGCCUCAAACACUGCAUGUGAGUGGACGACCAGAUGGAUUCCCAAAGAUCAGCUACCAGAUACUUGUUAUAAGCAUGUCUAUGUCACAAAGUAUUUAGGAGAUCACAGACGGUAUUGGUUUGCGCUGUAAAGUGAUGGGUGUCAGGGUUUAAGAUGUGUUUCUCCAGUAUGGUUAGCAGUACAGAUGGCUUUUAGCAUCGGUACUCCACCACUGAAACACUGAAAUUAUAGGCUUCAGGUGAAAGCACUACUGUUUUUUUUUUUGUUUUUUUUUUAAACUGAGUCUGUAAUUUAGGGAGCAUGAGUAGGCCUUAUUGUUCACUUCUAUAGUGUCAUGGAUGAAUAGCUGUGCAUGUGAGAAACAAAGAGGGUCAAUAUAGACACUUGUAAAUCAUCCCUUAAGAGAGUUUCCCUUUGAUUCUUCUACCCCCCUGAGAAUUUAUGUUUGCUGGUUGUAUAGUUGAGCUCCAUCAAUGAGGCACUCAAGUACCAUAAAUCUUACCUGUUCUCAGGCUUUAGGAUAUGCAUUUUACCUUGAAAUAGAAGUUCUGACUUGGGAACAGAUACACUGCAUUUUCUUAUUGGUCACUUGUGGUGGUGCAAGUGGCCACUUUGAAGGUGGACCCAGAACUCAGGAUGACAGCCCCUGAGGGUCAGUGACUUCCUAAAGGAUUAUGACUGGUUUACAUCACUCUUUAGGCUGAAAGGUUUUGAAUAAACCAGUAGAACCCAACAGGAAGUUGUAGGUCAAAUGUAAGAGCAUGAAAUAGGUCAAACAACAUGUUGUGUCAUGUCAUUGUGACAAAGAAAGUAUUCCUAUUGAGGUGCUUUGUAUGUCAUAUGUAUGUUACAGAAGGUGUGGAUUUUAGAGGCAAAUGCCAGUUUGAUCUGUUUAAGCAGAGUAAAAUGGUGAGCUAUCAGUCUUGGCCCAUAUCCUUUGCCCUGCUUGCCUAGUGUGUAAUCUGUUUGGCUCCCAUCUCUGUAGCAGGCAAAGAGAAUUGGUUUUGAACCAAGAGGGCAAGCAAUUUACUCCUCAUUCACAGACCAUUCUCCACCUUAUGAGAAAAAAAGAAGAUAGCAGAGUGGGGGUUGGAAAAGGGUGGG
Molecule: long non-coding RNA, 2498 nt
Organism: Ictalurus punctatus (channel catfish)
Lineage: Eukaryota; Metazoa; Chordata; Actinopteri; Siluriformes; Ictaluridae
Source: Ensembl